UGCUAUCCAUAGUUUCUCUAAUUAGCUUCUCGGCUAGAACAAGCUCUCCGCCAGAAGUAAUGGUGUCAAUCAAGCAUCUUCCACUGAUCUCGCUCACAGCAUCUCGUCCACAUUGCCUCAACCAAGUCAUACAUGUACUUGCGAUGUAAUGCUUGUCAAGUGUGACCAUUGUGGACUCUAGCUUUUCCCUAAACAAUUUCCAAAGUCUCACCUCGGAAUCGGGACAUGGAAUACCACCAAAUAACUGAGAGGCGGGAGGAGAUCCAA
This 267-nucleotide long non-coding RNA is filed under the name Linum usitatissimum (flax). RNAcentral describes it as "long non-coding RNA (LUSI_LNC000698)". Lineage: Eukaryota; Viridiplantae; Streptophyta; Magnoliopsida; Malpighiales; Linaceae. The record is from RNAcentral.